RNAcentral lists this transfer RNA (85 nucleotides) under hydrothermal vent metagenome. RNAcentral describes it as "tRNA-Leu-GAG". It matches the Rfam family "tRNA". From Rfam's summary of the family: Transfer RNA (tRNA) molecules are approximately 80 nucleotides in length. Their secondary structure includes four short double-helical elements and three loops (D, anti-codon, and T loops). The record is from RNAcentral.
GCCGAUGUGGUGAAAUUGGUAGACACGCCAUCUUGAGGGGGUGGUGGGGAAACCCGUGCUGGUUCGACUCCAGUCAUCGGCACCA